Long non-coding RNA from Quercus robur (English oak), 808 nucleotides. RefSeq lists it as uncharacterized. Lineage: Eukaryota; Viridiplantae; Streptophyta; Magnoliopsida; Fagales; Fagaceae. The transcript has 4 exons. The record is from RefSeq and is a predicted model, not a curated record.
CUCUCCCUCAAACGCAAACGUAUCUCUCUCUGUCGUUCCCCCCACUCCUCUUCUACCUGUGGCUCUGCUACCCCAAACAAAUUCUAUUCUACAAAAAAAACAGAAUCGCCGCAUCCAAAAAAAAAAAACACAGAGCCGCGAAACGUCGAGACAGAGAUAGCAAUUUGAUUUUGAGGGUCCUUCACCAUUCUCUUUGAUUUUCGGGUUGUGGCCUACUUCCUCUCAAAAGUUUCUUUGCAGAGAUGAAGUGGAAUACUCUAAUUUCAUCACAGCAAAGACCCCAGCUUCUUUUCCAAUUUCCUCCUUUAGUAACCCACGGAUUAUUUUCUGCUUUCUGUUAUGCACAGCGAAAGACCAAAUCUAUAUAGUUUAGAAGCUGUCUGCAAAUCCCAGCAAUAGCAAAGUGAAAAGGUAGAGCUAUUUAAGAUAGAAAUUAUGAGAAAAUUUUACUAAUGAUAGAAGAUUUUCUGUUGUGAUUAUUUAAUGCAAAUUGUUGGUAUGGGUUGCAGGGAAAAGAAAGCUAUGAGUAAUGGACAUAGACAUGAGUUAUUAAAACACUAAACAAUUGUAUCUUUUUGGUGGUUUGCUAUUGUACUUGCUACAUGCAAUGAGAAUUACUAUAGUUCACAAUCGAAUGAGUUUUACCAUAGUUAACAAAUGAGUUUCUUUUGGAACAUCUGACUCCUCCUGCCAACAGUUUGAAGCCAUGUCAUAUCAUGUACAACAAUGAAGAUGACAAUGGGAGAGAUAUUUUCCAAAGAUUAUAUUGAAAUUUUAUUGUUUAAUAGAUUGUGCUGAUUUUUUUUUC